CCCCAAAGUGUUGAGUUCAGUGCAGGGUUUUCACCCCUGUUCUGGUAAUUAAACUUUGGUACACUAAAUAGUUGGGAGAAGUCAGAGGUGGAAAAUCUUGUUUUUCUGCCUGUUACUUUCCCAGCCCACAAAA
Molecule: small nucleolar RNA, 133 nt
Organism: Varanus komodoensis (Komodo dragon)
Lineage: Eukaryota; Metazoa; Chordata; Lepidosauria; Squamata; Varanidae
Source: Ensembl